Molecule: long non-coding RNA, 203 nt
Organism: Melospiza melodia melodia
Lineage: Eukaryota; Metazoa; Chordata; Aves; Passeriformes; Passerellidae
Exons: 3
Source: RefSeq, a predicted model, not a curated record
CAAGCACCUGGUCCAGCCUGUAAGAGGCUCUUUUUCCUGGCCCGAUCACUCGCUGUCGCCAAGGCCUGCUUCAAUUUGAACAUCUUCUUCUUAGAACUACAGUGGCCACAGAUCCAACUAGAGGCUGGUCUGAAGACUCCCCCAGAAGUGUGAACAUUAGUAAGAUAACUUGGCUGUGAUGGUCACAGGGGUCUCAGGUUGAG